Molecule: long non-coding RNA, 1064 nt
Filed under: Chrysolophus pictus (golden pheasant)
Lineage: Eukaryota; Metazoa; Chordata; Aves; Galliformes; Phasianidae
Description: lncRNA (ENSCPIG00010009420.1)
Source: RNAcentral
AUGAAAGCACAGAAGUGAUGCAGGCACUUGCUGAGGUCACAGUCAUUGCCGGGGUGGGAGCGUUUGUCCCACAGCUGGUGAGCAGAGCUGGUGCUCUCGUGAGCGUGCUGCACAUGGAGAAUGAGCUCUGUGCUUUUUUUGAGAGAGAUCAUCCUGUGAGAGCCCACUGGAAGCACCGCUGCGGUGUGUGUGUGAGCUGGGCACAGCUUAGGCUGAGCAGGCUGAUCAAGUGAGCUGGGUUUGGUGCUGGCUGGUUGUUGGGAGGUAUCUCAGCAGAAAAGCUGGGCUGGGGAGGAAUUUCCAGCUCCAGCGGUGCCCUUCUGAAUGGCUGUUUCCAGGGAAAAUGGGUUCUUGUUGAAAUUCCAUCCCAUGAUUCAGUGAGGAUGAUGAAAUGUCAUUCCUCUCCUGGAAAAUUGCUGCUGGGCCCCCACCUUCAUGUCAGACCUUAAAAAGGAAGCAGAGCGCAGACUUCAUAGAGUGCAACUGUGUCUCACUGCUCCAUGGAUUGCUUGGUGUGCCAUACCCAGCAGGCGUUUCAGCAAACCGUGCUGAAGUCACGGCAGAGAGCCAGGUGCUCAGCUGGGGAAAAGGGGACCUGGGGGCACUUGCUGACAGAAGCCAUGGCAGUCAGACACAAGCUGCAGCUAGUAAUGGGCGGGCAGUUCUUGCAGCCAGCUGAUGUCUAAGCAUUGCCUUCCUCAAGAGACUACAUUGCAUGGCAGGAGAAAGCUGGGAAAAUGCUUCUUCCUCAUGAUUUUUCACUUGUUGAUACUUCAAGGUUUCCUGUUCAAAAGGAGAACUUGGAGAUCAGGGCAGUUGAAGAACGAGCGAAGCCAGCUCCUUCCAAGAGCGAGGGAGGUUCCUGUGGAGAGAACCCUCACACCUUGGGCUUCCUCUGACACUUCAGCCAUCAUGUCUCAGCAAGGAGAUGACCGUGGUUCCUAUUCCUGCUCUGUCAGAGGAAAGAAGCAGUGUGGUGCGGUUCCCCGUGUUUGGGAGCAGCAGCCAGCAGGCUGCCGGAGAUCCAACAGCACCUUGCAGCGCCCAGAGGGACACGAUGGGGA